Molecule: long non-coding RNA, 646 nt
Organism: Mauremys mutica (yellowpond turtle)
Lineage: Eukaryota; Metazoa; Chordata; Testudines; Geoemydidae
Exons: 3
Source: RefSeq, a predicted model, not a curated record
CCUAGUUACCGCAUCCACACACGAUAUCCCGACCUCCUGACUGGGCCAUGUAAAACACCACACAGAACCAGGAAGAUACUGAGAUCUGUCAUGGUUAGCUGGGCAAUUGCUGGAGGCUGGAGCCAAUUUGUUUAAUUAAAGAGAAUUAAGGGAAGAAGUGUCCCCAAUUAAAGCAGGAAAAAUCGUCUGUUUUUAAGUGGGAAUUCAGACCUGGCUGGCUUCUUAGUCUCUACAGCUGAAAAGCCAGCCCAGAAACAGAAGAAACCGGCCGCUGGGCUGACAGCAGCUCCCUUUAUCUCUCAGCGAGGACGAUAAAUGGCAGCUCCUGAUCAAAAGGAGGCCGGGACUGACAGAGGCGGCUGAAUGGAGAGCCGCGUCUCUGGGGUCAGGGCUGGACCGCACCGGCGACGCUAGGCUGCUGCCGCAGGGAGAUAAUCCUGGCAGCGCGGAGAGGAGGCUGCGAUGCGUGUUUAUCAGCAGGACAUUGCAACGGGAGCUGCCUCUUAUCCUUGCUGUGAAAGCACCGCGGCAGAGAUACAGCCAGCUGUUUCCUCCCCAGCGAAGGGCAGGGUAUGCGGCGCAGGCGGGUGGCCGAGCAGGUCGCGGGCUCGCCUGGGCUUCAGGAAAGCAGGUGUCUAUUCCUGGC